Molecule: ribosomal RNA, 249 nt
Filed under: uncultured bacterium
Lineage: Bacteria
Description: partial 16S ribosomal RNA
Rfam family: Bacterial small subunit ribosomal RNA
Source: RNAcentral
UAGGGUGCAAGCGUUGUCCGGAAUUAUUGGGCGUAAAGAGCUCGUAGGCGGUUUGUUGCGUCGGCUGUGAAAUCCCGAGGCUCAACCUCGGGUCUGCAGUCGAUACGAGCAAACUAGAGUGUUGCAGGGGAGACUGGAAUUCCUGGUGUAGCGGUGAAAUGCGCAGAUAUCAGGAGGAACACCGGUGGCGAAGGCGGGUCUCUGGGCAACAACUGACGCUGAGGAGCGAAAGCGUGGGGAGCGAACAGG